RNAcentral lists this ribosomal RNA (604 nucleotides) under uncultured fungus. Its description in RNAcentral is "eukaryotic LSU rRNA". It matches the Rfam family "Eukaryotic large subunit ribosomal RNA", at positions 37 to 654 of the family's 3401-position model. The record is from RNAcentral. Lineage: Eukaryota; Fungi.
AGCAUAUCAAUAAGCGGAGGAAAAGAAACCAACAGGGAUUGCCUUAGUAACUGCGAGUGAAGCGGCAAAAGCUCAAAUUUGAAAUCUGGCGUCCUUGACGUCCGAGUUGUAAUUUGGAGGGAUAUCUUCGGAGUCGACGCCGCCCUAAGUUCUUUGGAACAGGACAUCAUAGAGGGUGAGAAUCCCGUGCCCGGGCGGCUGCUUGGUUCCAUGUGAAGUGUCUCCGACGAGUCGAGUUGUUUGGGAAUGCAGCUCAAAAUGGGUGGUAAAUUUCAUCUAAAGCUAAAUAUUGGCGAGAGACCGAUAGCGAACAAGUAGAGUGAUCGAAAGAUGAAAAGCACUUUGAAAAGAGAGUUAAAAAGUACGUGAAAUUGUUGAAAGGGAAGCGCAUGCGACCAGACUCAAUCUUUGGUGAUCAUCUGGGGUUCUCUCCAGUGCACUUGCCAUUGAUUGGGCCAGCAUCGGUUCUGGGGGUGGGAUAAAAGCCUUGGGAAUGUAGCUUCCUCACCGGAAGUGUUAUAGCCCGAGGCAUAAUGCCGCCACCCGGGACCGAGGACCGCGCUUCGGCUAGGAUGCUGGCGUAAUGGUCUCAUGCGACCCGUCU